This 253-nucleotide ribosomal RNA is filed under the name uncultured bacterium. RNAcentral's name for it is "partial 16S ribosomal RNA". It matches the Rfam family "Bacterial small subunit ribosomal RNA", at positions 524 to 776 of the family's 1533-position model. The record is from RNAcentral.
UACGAAGGGGGCUAGCGUUGUUCGGAAUUACUGGGCGUAAAGCGUGCGUAGGCGGGUAGAUUAGUCAGAUGUGAAAUCCCAAGGCUCAACCUUGGAACUGCAUUUGAAACUGUCUAUCUAGAGACAUGGAGAGGUUAGUGGAAUACCGAGUGGAGAGGUGAAAUUCGUAGAUAUUCGGUGGAACACCAGUGGCGAAGGCGACUAACUGGACAUGUACUGACGCUGAGGCACGAAAGUGUGGGGAGCAAACAGG